CCUGCAUCUUUCCGCAGGGCUUGCAAGACAGAGCUGUUCCGCCUGGCCUUUGGUUUGGACUGAGUCGGACCCUUAUGUCUUCCCUCCCCUUACGGUUUUGAUUUAUGGGCUACUUUUAAAAUGAGGCUGCUUUUUAAAUUGCAUUUUAACCUGUAUUUUAAAUUGGGCCCCCCCAUUAUCUUUCUAUUGUAAUUUUACUGGUGUUAGCUGCCCUGAGCCCGGCUCUGACUGGGGAGGGCAGGGUAUACAGUAAUUAUUAUUAUUAUUAUUAUUAUUAUUAUUAUUAUUAUUAUUAUUAUCAUCAUCAUCAUUGCAGGGGGUUGGACUAGAUGACCCUCGGCUCCCUUCCGACUCUAUGAUUCUCUGAUUCUAUAAAGUCAAGAACUGGGGCAGCUUGUGUAAAUCCAGGACCAUCCCUGGAAAAUAGGGACGCUUUGCACGACCCGCUUAGAAAGAUAAAUUCAUUUGGGUCGACUUUAGAAAAAGAUGCUAAGAAUGAGUAUUGUUGUUUAAAUUGAAGGCUAUAAGUUUAAAAUUGGAUAACUAAGAUGAAUUAAAUAUAAAAUAAUAAGGCAAAUGAUGGGGAUAAGAACUUGCUGAGCUAAUUAUUGGAAUUGGAAUACAAGAAGGGGAGGUGUGAGGAAGUCAGGGAAAGAUGGUAAGAAAAUAAGGAUUUGAAAUUAUACUUGUCUUUUUUCGUGUGGUGUUUAUUUGUGUUUUUGUGUUUGUUUAAAAAUUCGUGAAACCUUAAUAAAAAUUUAUUUAAAAAAAAAGAAAGAAAGAUGAAUUCAAAACAACAAGUGAAUUGCACACUUCUGCAACAUCCAAUCAAAACGAUUUAGUUUAACUCAGCAAAAACGGUGGCCCAACUUUUCCAAGCCUGAUAAGUCAUUACUAAGCAGGGGUGGGAAAUCUUAAGGCUUGCACAAGAGGGGAGGUGUUCCUGCUACUCAGUUCUCUUCCUGGGCGAAGGAACUGAUCUCUGGUUCUUAGAGAGGCAGGAAGUUGCCCAUCGAAAGGAAGGGGGGAGGGAAGACACUAUUGGUGGGGGGGGGGGAGAGAGGCACCCCGCUCACAGUCUGGGAAGAGAAGCGGGUUUGGUUAAGGAAGAGGCUUCAGAGGAGGAAAAAGGUACUGAAUAGCUUCUCCCUCUUUUGAAGUGCAUCUGUGCAUCGUGGCAACUGCUGUGAGAGUCCCAGAGAUGGCCCAGUUUAUGUCUCUCCCUCCAUCCAGCACAGUGGCUUCAGAGGCACCACCCGAACCCUCUUUUCUUUGGGGAGGAGUAGAAACAGCUUCGAAGCAGCCGUCUCAGGUAAGGGAAAGAUAACUGAGGUUAUGCAAAGCAGGCAGUGCGGAUGCUUCCCCCUGUCUUGAGCUGUGAAAUAUUUCAUUUAUUUACUUAUUAAAUGUGUGUACCGCCCAUCAUUCGACGAUCACGGGGCAGCUCACAACAUAAAAAUACAAAAC
RNAcentral lists this long non-coding RNA (1467 nucleotides) under Podarcis muralis (Common wall lizard). RNAcentral describes it as "lncRNA (ENSPMRG00000000696.1)". The record is from RNAcentral. Lineage: Eukaryota; Metazoa; Chordata; Lepidosauria; Squamata; Lacertidae.